ACGUACACUCCUGCGGGAGGCAGCAGUGGGGAAUAUUGCACAAUGGGCGCAAGCCUGAUGCAGCCAUGCCGCGUGUAUGAAGAAGGCCUUCGGGUUGUAAAGUACUUUCAGCGGGGAGGAAGGCGAUAAGGUUAAUAACCUUGUCGAUUGACGUUACCCGCAGAAGAAGCACCGGCUAACUCCGUGCCAGCAGCCGCGGUAAUACGGAGGGUGCAAGCGUUAAUCGGAAUUACUGGGCGUAAAGCGCACGCAGGCGGUCUGUCAAGUCGGAUGUGAAAUCCCCAGGCUCAACCUGGGAACUGCAUUCGAAACUGGCAGGCUAGAGUCUUGUAGAGGGGGGUAGAAUUCCAGGUGUAGCGGUGAAAUGCGUAGAGAUCUGGAGGAAUACCGGUGGCGAAGGCGGCCCCCUGGACAAAGACUGACGCUCAGGUGCGAAAGCGUGGGGAGCAAACAGGAUUAGAAACCCUAGUAGUCCCA
RNAcentral lists this ribosomal RNA (477 nucleotides) under uncultured organism. Its description in RNAcentral is "partial 16S ribosomal RNA". It matches the Rfam family "Bacterial small subunit ribosomal RNA", at positions 329 to 797 of the family's 1533-position model. The record is from RNAcentral.